This 28-nucleotide non-coding RNA is filed under the name Rattus norvegicus (Norway rat). The record is from RNAcentral. Lineage: Eukaryota; Metazoa; Chordata; Mammalia; Rodentia; Muridae.
UAAACCCCCUCAACAAGGGAAACGCUGC